GAUGAACGCUAGCGGGAGGCUUAACACAUGCAAGUCGAGGGGCAGCAUAGGGUAGCAAUACUCUGAUGGCGACCGGCAAACGGGUGAGUAACGCGUAUGCAACCUACCCUGUACAGGGGGGAUAACCCGGAGAAAUUCGGACUAAUAUCCCGUAAUAAUAUCCGGAGGCAUCUUUGGAUAUUUAAAGUUCCGACGGUACGGGAUGGGCAUGCGUAACAUUAACUGGUUGGUAAGGUAACGGCUCACCAAGGCUAUGAUGUUUAGGGGUCCUGAGAGGGUGGUCCCCCACACUGGUACUGAGACACGGACCAGACUCCUACGGGAGGCAGCAGUGAGGAAUAUUGGUCAAUGGGCGCAAGCCUGAACCAGCCAUCCCGCGUGCAGGAAGACGGCCCUAUGGGUUGUAAACUGCUUUUCCAGGGAGAGAAACUUACGCACGUGUUGCGUGACUGACGGUACCCUGGGAAUAAGCAUCGGCUAAACUCCGUG
Molecule: ribosomal RNA, 489 nt
Filed under: uncultured bacterium
Lineage: Bacteria
Description: bacterial SSU rRNA
Rfam family: Bacterial small subunit ribosomal RNA
Source: RNAcentral